Molecule: ribosomal RNA, 497 nt
Filed under: uncultured bacterium
Lineage: Bacteria
Description: partial 16S ribosomal RNA
Rfam family: Bacterial small subunit ribosomal RNA
Source: RNAcentral
GAUGAACGCUGGCGGCGUGCCUAAUACAUGCAAGUCGAGCGAACGGACGAGAAGCUUGCUUCUCUGAUGUUAGCGGCGGACGGGUGAGUAACACGUGGAUAACCUACCUAUAAGACUGGGAUAACUUCGGGAAACCGGAGCUAAUACCGGAUGAUAUUUUGAACCGCAUGGUUCAAAAGUGAAAGACGGUCUUGCUGUCACUUAUAGAUGGAUCCGCGCUGCAUUAGCUAGUUGGUAAGGUAACGGCUUACCAAGGCAACGAUGGAUAGCCGACCUGAGAGGGUGAUCGGCCACACUGGAACUGAGACACGGUCAAGACUCCUACGGGAGGCACCAGUAGGGAAUCUUCCGCAAUGGGCGAAAGCCUGACGGAGCAACGCCGCGUGAGUGAUGAAGGUCUUCGGAUCGUAAAACUCUGUUAUUAGGGAAGAACAUAUGUGUAAGUAACUGUGCACAUCUUGACGGUACCUAAUCAGAAGGCCACGGCUAACUACGUG